This 73-nucleotide transfer RNA is filed under the name Marmota monax (woodchuck). Its description in RNAcentral is "tRNA.Ala". The record is from RNAcentral. Lineage: Eukaryota; Metazoa; Chordata; Mammalia; Rodentia; Sciuridae.
UGGGGUGUUAGCUUAGUGGCAGAGCACCUGCCUGGCAUGCCUGGGGUACUGGGUUCGAUCCUCAGCACCACAU